CUGGUAAUAAAAUCAGGUACAACUCCAAAAGGAGACACUGGAGAAGACCCAAGCUGGGUCUAUAAGGAAUUGCACAUGAGAUGGCACACAUAUUUAUGCUGGCUGAAAAUCACAGAUGGGAA
This is a long non-coding RNA of Sapajus apella (tufted capuchin), 122 nucleotides long. RefSeq lists it as uncharacterized. Lineage: Eukaryota; Metazoa; Chordata; Mammalia; Primates; Cebidae. The transcript is spliced from 3 exons. The record is from RefSeq and is a predicted model, not a curated record.